RNAcentral lists this transfer RNA (71 nucleotides) under Candidatus Thorarchaeota archaeon. Its description in RNAcentral is "tRNA-Gln". It matches the Rfam family "tRNA". Rfam says of the family: Transfer RNA (tRNA) molecules are approximately 80 nucleotides in length. Lineage: Archaea; Promethearchaeati; Candidatus Thorarchaeota. The record is from RNAcentral.
GGACCUAUAGUGUAACGGAAGCACACCGGGCUUUGACUCCGGGAGACCAGGUUCGACUCCUGGUGGGCCCG